RNAcentral lists this ribosomal RNA (450 nucleotides) under uncultured bacterium. RNAcentral's name for it is "partial 16S ribosomal RNA". It matches the Rfam family "Bacterial small subunit ribosomal RNA", at positions 354 to 796 of the family's 1533-position model. The record is from RNAcentral.
GUGGGGAAUCUUCCGCAAUGGACGAAAGUCUGACGGAGCAACGCCGCGUGAGUGAUGAAGGUCUUCGGAUUGUAAAGCUCUGUUAAUCGGGACGAAAGAGCCUAGUGUGAAUAAUGCUAGGAAGUGACGGUACCGGAAUAGAAAGCCACGGCUAACUACGUGCCAGCAGCCGCGGUAAUACGUAGGUGGCAAGCGUUGUCCGGAAUUAUUGGGCGUAAAGCGCGCGCAGGCGGAUCUGCCAGUCUGUCUUAAAAGUUCGGGGCUUAACCCCGUGAUGGGAUGGAAACUACAGAUCUAGAGGAUCGGAGAGGAAAGUGGAAUUCCUAGUGUAGCGGUGAAAUGCGUAGAUAUUAGGAAGAACACCAGUGGCGAAGGCGACUUUCUGGACGAAAACUGACGCUGAGGCGCGAAAGCCAGGGGAGCGAACGGGAUUAGAAACCCGAGUAGUCC